UAAGAGUGAUGGUGUGUUCUGACUAUGGG
RNAcentral lists this non-coding RNA (29 nucleotides) under Cricetulus griseus (Chinese hamster). Lineage: Eukaryota; Metazoa; Chordata; Mammalia; Rodentia; Cricetidae. The record is from RNAcentral.